GGUGAAGACGUGGGCGCAGGCGCGGGAAGACGUGGGGGGGGGGGGGUGUAGGGAAGUGUUGGGCGGAGAUGGCGCGGAGGCGGCGUGGCGGGUCUGCUGGGAAAACGCGGGGCUUAACGCCGCGCGUGCAGUGGGUACGGGCAGGCUAGAGUGUGGUAGGGGGGACUGGAAUUCCUGGUGUAGCGGUGGAAUGCGCAGAUAUCAGGAGGAACACCGAUGGCGAAGGCAGGUCACUGGGCCAUUACUGACGCUGAGGAGCGAAAGCAUGGGGAGCGAACAGGAUUAGAUACCCGAGUAGUC
RNAcentral lists this ribosomal RNA (300 nucleotides) under uncultured bacterium. RNAcentral's name for it is "partial 16S ribosomal RNA". The stretch from base 52 to 300 matches the Rfam family "Bacterial small subunit ribosomal RNA", at positions 547 to 795 of the family's 1533-position model. The record is from RNAcentral.